GUUUUUUUUUUUAGUUUUAGAAAACGCUAGUGUCAUCAUGUCCUUGACUACCAUACAGCUUGGUUUGUAACCUAAAAGCACAAUUAACCUGAAAUCACAAUUAACCUGAAAGCACAAUUAACACCUAUGGUUUCUACAACUACUGUAAAACAGUACCAGCCAAACAUAUCAGUAGUUUCAUUAGAACUGACAAAAUUGAUGUUUUCAGAAACUGUAGUAUUCAUUGCCAAUACCGAAGUUUUGGAAUACUGCGGUAUUUUAAAAACUACACUGCCAAACUAGGCAUUACUGCAUAUAAGUUUCAUAAUGUAAUUUCGUCCAAAGCAUGGAGAUUCAGAGAUCAGGGGACGCCGGGAUGAGAUACCUCUCUGAGCUGAGCAGGGGAUGUGGAUUGGGGAGGACCGGAGGAUCAGCGGCUGAGGAAGCGACCGCGGAGCGGACUGGAAGUGGGUAGCUCCGGUAGUCCGGUCAGCAGGGCACGGUGGUGCGCCCUGCGCACCUGAUUGGACAGCAGCCGGCCGGGCACCAAGCGGGGCAGGCAGUGGCAAGUCGCGGGUGUCAGCCUUCAGGCCGGUCAGGAUCACAGGGCGGUCUACCGGUGGCUCCGGGCGGCCGGGCAAGGACGGCGAGGCAGGCGGCUCGUCUGGCUUCCAGGCGGCGGAUCGAAUAUUCCCGAGACUGGAGAAACAGGGUUGACCGACCGUGCGUGGCUGCUUCCGCUUCGGCACGACGCGACGAGCAGGGUAGGCUGUUAUUGGGCUUUUUUUCCUCCAAGCCCAUCUCUUAUAUUACCAUUUUUUUAGAGAGGUCCUGCAAAACGGGCCGGCCCAUUCUCACUAAAAGGAAAUGUCACGAAAAACAACCGACCUAGUGAUAACGCGCCACUGAACUAACGACUGAGCAUGUGUUAAAUUACAGCGCUCAAAUUUACCUAUUAUGUACAGCGGCAGAUCCUUUUUUAAUAAUUCGUUCAAGACAUAAGGACGUUUUCUUGAACAAAUUUUGAAACUCGAACAUUUUUUUAAAACGUGAUUUUUAGUAAAAAGUGAAUAAUUAUUGAAACCACGAAAAGAAUUUGAAAAUCCAAACAUUUAUUGAAUUUUAUAAGUUUAAAAUAUACAUUUCAUUUUUUUAACAUACGCCGAACAAUUUCUAACUACACGGUGUACAUUUUUGUGAUAUUUGAUGAACAAAUUCUAAAUAUACAUUGAAUAUUUUUGUAAUAUACGUUGAACAAUUUUGAACAACACGUUGAACAAUUUUUUAUAUACACUAAACAAAUAUUAAAUACAUAUUGAAAUUUUAGGGUGGAGCGUGGCCCACCAUGUGCCUCCUCCAAUGACCUGGAUCAGAGAAUAAAUGGAAGGGACUAUGCCAAAUUUGAUUUUUGCCGAACGAAUUUUCACGCCACACUCCUUAUGUGUACCGGCGUCUAAUUAACUUUUAUUUUUAAUUAUGUAUAUUUGCAGUCUUAUAGCAGAUAUAAUUUGCAACACAUACAUGACAACAUAUAAGAUCUGUUGCAAUCUAUGUAGGACACUAUGGUCACGAACAAGAAGUCGACAACGCAUAUGCUGCAACGCUUAUAUGCAUAUCUCUUGUGAAUUUUGCAACUUAUAGUCAAAACGUUGUACAAUAUGUGUUGCUUUAUAGGGUGUAUCCUUGUAGUGGAUGAGACAAUACAACACUUAUUUAUAGAAUGCCCCCUCGCGAGAUUACUCUGGCAAUCGAUUCAUAUAGCCUUUAACAUUAAUCCACCAACUAGCAUUGAAGGUUUAUUUGGGACCUGGCUAGCUGGUAUAGAUUUGCUUACUGCGUCUCGUAUUCGGAUUGGAAUAUGUGCGCUUUUUUGGGCUAUAUGGAACUGCAGAAAUGAUAUGAUCUUUAACAGACAAUAUUCCUUAACAUUCUUGCAGGUCAUUUUCAGAGCUACUGCUUGGAUCCGUACGUGAUCCUUACUCACUCGUAUGGAGUCCAGGGAGCCUUUGGUUACUGGGUGCAUCCAAUGUGAGACGGUAGCACGGGAUAUAUUCAACCGGUUUGGAUGGCGGUCUCUUAAUAGAAUAGGCGUUUAAUAUUCUAUUCUUUUACACAUGCCGGUUGUGGCUUUGAUAACUCUUUAAUUUUCGCUCCUCUUGCGAGCUGUAAUGGAGAUAAGACUAUUUUUGUUUUGAACUUCGUUUUUAAUAAAGAUGGCUGCAUGCAUUCUUCGGAUGCAGAGGCCGGGGGUAAGCCUCCUUUUAAAAAAAAAACUUAUCAAUAGCGUGGGGCUCUUACCCGGCGCUACUGCUAAGCAUCUACCUAUAAGGUAUUUCCUAGUAGUGCAUGGCGAAAUAAGAUUUAAGAACAAACAAGCCUCUUAUGUAAAGCAUAUAAUAUGGGGAUCAAAUAGCACAUCUUUUGUUGAGGAUAACUAACUUUCGGAGAACAAAAGUGCAAAAGCUGUGAAAACUAUGGAUCCCAAAUGAAAACGCAGGGGGGCAACUCAAGGAGGCGUUAGCUUGGCGAGGAACAUACAACCAACAAACAAGACAUUGAAGAGAGCGGUAGAGGGAAGUCCUGGCCACCGGUGCAGCACCGGGUGUGGGAAAGAAGAGAAGAGGCGCGACCAAGCAAACCCCAUGUGUGUACCAUAAUUGUUUCCGAACCGGAUUAUUUCAAAGAUUUUUCUUAAAAUAGUAAUCAGUUUUUAACAUGGAAAAAAUGGUAUCACUAAAAAUGAAAAAGUGUUGAUGUAUGUACAUAUGAAUAAAAAUUCCACCGCGUAUAUAAAAAUGUUUGUAUAUACAAAAAGGUUCAUGUAUUUUUUAGAAAUAGUUCAUAGCUAGUUUUUUUUAAUAUUCAUACACAUUUUGAAUAUAUAUUCAUGUACUCUAAAAAAAGAUGUUAAAAGUAAGUAUCCAAGAAGAAAAAGAACAUAAAUAGACAACAAAAAGGUGGAAAUAGAAAUAAAAAAAGAAAAAAAGAAAAGGUAAAACAAACUAAGCCGAAGUAUUGAAAGAAAAAGGAAAAGUCCGACUAAAGAAUCUGCCCAAUAGACUGACUGAAUCUACUCUCUACCAAGCAGACUGAACUUGCUGUAGCAGUUGAGCGUGAAUCUAGCUAGGAGCGAAGAAUGGGUCACACGGCCUGCAGCUCGCCCGCCCGCCCGAUUCCACAAGAAUCUCUCCUCUCCCCUGGUUUGUUACUUCACUCCAGUGCUUGGCGCAUCGAUCGCCCAUCCCACUCGACCCCCGCAACUCGCAUCACAGAACUCCUAUUCUUGUUGGCUGAUCAACCAAGUUCUCGUCGUCUCGAUCGAAAAUCUAUCGAUGGGGUCGUCGUUUAAGUCGGAGUGGGGGCCGGCGAUCUGCAUGGUGCUCAUCGAGCUGUUCACCACGGGGCAGCUGCUGCUCACCAAGGUGGUGGUCGACGCCGGCCUCAUGGUCUUCGCCCUCCUCACCUACCGCUUCUUCCUCGGCGCCGCCCUCGUCGUCCCUCUCGCCCUCAUCUUUGAGCCGUACGUCGUCGCUACUCUUCUCACCGCCCAUGCAUCUCAUCUUCAAGAUUUUAUUAUUACUCCCUCUGAUUCAUAUUAAUUGUCGCUGGUUUAGUACAAAGUUGUUAGAGGGAGCACUUAUUAAUUUAUGCGUGCAUGCAUUUCUGAUCGAUUAUAUUCAUGACGUGACGUGAUUGAAUUCCUUCUUUGCACUUAUAUUGAUAUGUGGUUCGUGUGUGCCUAUGGGUGGAUGGCAUGUUGUGUUUGCCUGUUGCCGCCGUGUCACUAGCAUGUACUCCUAAAAAAGUACUCCCUCUGUUUGAAAUUACUUGUCUCGAAAAUGGAUGUAUCUAGAACUAAAAUACGUCUAGAUACAUCCAUUUCUAUGACGAGUAAUUCCGAACGGAGGGAGUAUAAGAUUGUUUAGACCACGAAAGACUAUUUCUUUACAGAGGGAGUAGUCUCCAGACAAGUUUAGCUUGACAGACCAUUUGUCUUCUUUCCUGGUGGCCGAAGAAGCUACUGAGUUUGGCGGUGGGAACUGUAAACAUGACAACAACGCAACCUUGGGCGCCCGCCUUAUAAGUAGUAUGGAGGGUCAUCACAUCACUAGGGAAUCAAGGGGAAGUAGUGGCUACUGGCUAGGCCUACGCCCGGUCGAAAACAUAGCAAAACAUUUCAAAAAAAAAAAUCUCUGUAUUUUUUACAUCCCAGGAGCUCUGUAGCUCUGUAUUUUUUACAAAGCUGCUCGGAUGUCAUUUGGGAAUCAGACUUUGCAAAGACCUAUAACACUUGUUCAUAAUCAUUGUCACAAAGUUAGACAAUAUGGUCUACAAGUAACACUUAAGGCCGCAACAACGAAAAUUACGCUCGUAAAUUAAAACUACUCCCUCCGUUCGGAAUUACUCGUCACAGAAAUAGAUGUAUCUAGACGUAUUUUAGUUCUAGAUACAUCCAUUUUCGAGACAAGUAAUUUCAAACGGAGGGAGUAAUUGGAUACACUAGCACCACCUCAUGAUCAGAAAUUACAAUAUGCAUGAUCUUUGCAUUCAUAUUGAUCUGUUAUGUUCUUCCCUGCUGGACCAAUAUAUGGUUCGUGUUUGUCUAUGGCGUGUUUGUCUGUUGCGUUCACCGUGUCGCCAGCAUGUGGUCUGUUACUUCUGUACUGUGUUUAGCUAGAUAGGUUGUUUAUCUUCUUUCCUGAUGGACAAAGAAGCUAUACUGGGUUUGUAGGCGUGGGAAUCGUAACCAUAUCAAAUCUGAUAUGCCACACAUAUUUCCCAGGAUCUUUUUAAAAAAAUCAAUAAAAAAUGCAGCAAAGUCCAGCUAUUUCUCUCCAAAAAAAAAUCCCAGGAUCUCACUAGCCUUUUUUUUCGAAACGAAGGCAAAAGCUUUGCCUCAUCUCAUUAAUAAACAAAAACGGAAACAAAUUGCUUGGUUAAUUAACGAAGACCCGGGCGAAAACCGCUACAACACGCCCACAAGAAAGGGCACCCCGGUCGACUUGGCACCGACGAGACCACACACACCACCGACAAGGGGACACCGCCAAGGUUGUCUGCAAUGUCAUCGUCAUCACCUCUCCCCGAGCAGGCGACUCAGACCAUCGCUCACCAACGUCAUCGAUGCCACACAAGCCGUCAAACGGACCUCUGGCAUCACCGGCCACCUGCCGCGAUGCCGUGCAAGUCCAGCCCCGGGAUCUCACUAGCCUUUCAUGGCAACAACCUUGCAUGUUUCUCAUGUGGUUAUUUACCAGCAUGGGUUUAGCUCACGAUGUCUUUGGAAGCCCUCCGCCGAACGAGUAGUAUUUCACCACGAAAGGCUUACAAGGAAAUUCCACUAGUAUCCUACAGACUACGUACUCCCUCCGAUCCAAAUUAAUUGACAUAGAUUUAGUACUAAAGUUGUGUCAAUUAAUUUGGACUGGAGGGAGUACAUGAUACAGGUUUAGCUCAUUACUCUAAUGAAACCAAGUCUACGACAAAAGACUAGGAAUUACUUUAUUAAUUAAUUGGAGGCAUGUAGCUAACAGAGCAGGCCCUAAAUCUGAAAGAUUAGAAAGUUGAAAGUAUAGCUAAUUAGAUGCAAACACAAGUUCUCUGUAUAGCUAACAGAGCAUGCACCGCCCACCCAUAUUCAAAUAUUUAUUUUUUAGAGAUUGAGGAAUAACUAUUAUAUAUCCCUCAAACAUAAAGAGAAAAAUUAGAGGGUGUAGACAUCUUGCAAACACAAGUUCUCUGUACAUGCACGCCACUAGCUCACACAUAAAGAAUGACAAGCACUUGGUGAGUUGUUAGAGCCAGCACUCAUCUCCCCUCCCUCCCCGUAGCUUUGCCAUUCCCUCCUUGUCACUUUGCUCAAAGGCUAUCUCCAUUCUCCAAUUCUCCACCACGUACGUCCAGCGACAGUAAUGGGGGGCUCGACGAACGUGAUGGAAUGGUGGCCUGCCAUCUUCAUGUUGUUGAUCCAAAUUUUCACGACAGGGUUAAUGUUGCUCACGAAGGUGGUGGUGGACAGUGGUUCACUUGCUUGGACCUUGCUCACGUACCGCUUCUUCCUUGGCGCCAUCUUGACCAUCCCCUUGGCGAUGUUCUUUGAGAAGUUAGCUCUAAUUAACUACUGUUAUUUUAGCAUAUUUUUCUCCUUCUCAUGGUUGUCAUAUGACAGGGAACAUUUGGCAAGUAAUUAUCAAAAUGUGUCGUGAUAUAGAAACAUUUUGCAAAUGAUUAUCUGUUUACUUACCCUCAUCACCUCAUGUAGAGGGAGGUUGAAGGAGCUUAAACUGAAGGCGUUCAUAUGGAUUUUCACCAGUGCACUUGUGGGGUUAGUCAUUUCGUUCACAUCAUCUCAGUUCGGCAAUGGUUCUGAUAAAUAUCUACGCACAAAGUAGUAGUGAUUGUUGCUGUCACCUUCCAGAUUCACAAUUCCUGGUUUCGCCUACAUUGGCCUUGGAGACACAUCGCCAGGAUACGCGGUUAACUUCUAUAACAUCAUACCGAUUGCCGCCUUCAUCCUCGCGGUCCUUUUCAGGUAAACAAGAUGGAAAUAUAAUCACAAACGCCUGCUAUAGGAAUAUUGGGGCCAUAGAGGAAGGAACUGCAACAACCGACUGUUUUUUUUUCUCAGGAAGGAGCCACUGGACAUGAGGAGCCUGGUGGGGAACAUCAAGGUCAUUGGAACCCUAGUCUGUGUUGGAGGAACGCUGGUGAUCAGCCUGUACAAGGGCAAGGUGCUGCACCUUUGGCCCACAAAUAUCAUCGGCUACCACCCGAAGCAAGCCGGAGCUGCUUUUGGUCACCACCAUGUGCGUGGAACCAUCUUGCUCAUCACCAGCAGCCUCAGCCUCGCCGUUUGGUACACAGUACAGGUAUAUAACAAACAUAUAAGCAACAACUCACCAUUGCAAAGUCUCAAAUAAAUAGUAUUACCUAUAUAUCAUUAAUUUUGUACAGGUAUUUCAUGCAAAAUUCAACUACUCCUCCGAGGGAGUAUUACCUUUUUUUUAAUUCUUAAGCAAAGUGUGACCAAUACAGCUUAAUUAUAUAUGAGUUUGUAAUGAGCAGGCUCAGAUGCUAAAAGUGUUCCCAUACAAGUACUGGUCCACUGUCGCUACAUGCUUCGUGGGGAGCAUCCAAACGGCUGUCGUGGGGGUUGCCAUGAACAGAGAGAAGGCAACAUGGGCGCUCAAAUGGAACAUGAGCUUGCUCACCAUUGUGUACUCGGUAAAACUAUUCGGCUAUUCCUUUUGUUGUGCAUCAGUUCACUUUGUGGCUCUCAGUUGAAGGUCCUCAUUUACAUCUUGCUGCAGGCAAUACUCAACACUGCUGCCAAGUUUGUGAUGAUUUCGUGGGUCGUCACGCAGCGUGGGCCAACCUAUCCGGCCAUGUUUUGCGCCGUGACGGUGUUCUUCACUACUAUUCUUGACUCGUUGCUUCUCGGCCAUGAUCUGUCCGUUGGGAGGUAUGCUUACCACUUCUCUCCAUCCUAUGUUAAUAAGUGCAGAUUUUGGCUAACGUUCUUAAGACCGUAGGUAUAUACCAGAAUAUGCAUCGCCAAUUACUAACAUUAUUUUCUUAAAAAUUGUUGCUGAGUUUUCCUUGCAAUUAAUAAUCGAUCUGUUUACAUGCCUGCAGUGUUCUAGGCAUGUUCAUGAUUCUAGCUGGGCUCUAUCUUUUCCUUUGGGGAAAGAGAAAAGAAUCGGUACCUCCGAGUGAAGAAAAUCCAACGGAACAAAUGUUGUUUCAGAAUGGAGACAAGAAUGAUAAAUCAGUAGCUAAUGUAUGAUUAUUUCAUUUGGCAAUCUUACAAAAGGGACUAUUCAGAAGUUUGUGUAUACGAAAAACAGAGAAAAAAGGUCAAUACAGUUUGUGAUGUCCUCAACCAUUCAUCCAAUUUGAUCAUCACGUAAAAAGGUCAAUAUCCCAAAAUUGUUGAUUAUGGUUGAGUUUCUUCAUUUUAAUUAGCAAAAUUCAAACCAGAAAGUGAAAAUAGCAAAAUGACACAAUUAGUUCUAAGUUUUGUAGUUUCUUUGUUUGGUUUUAUAUGAAGUCCUCGAGCAUUGACCCUGCAUUAUUGUAUCUCUCCACUGCCUCAUGCUUUUCCUCCUGUCUGAAUGGAUCGAGAUGGAUCUGUGAGGGGGCCGGGGUGUGAAUAGGUCUCUACAAUAUUUAUGAUGCUUGCAAGGUCAAGGGACCAAAGUAAAACGCAGAUGAACGAGCUACGGUUAGGGACAAUCAAAGGCACGAGGAAACGAAGAUUUAUUUCGAUGUUCACUCCCUUGGAGGGGAGAUAAUCGCCGUUGGAGAGGUGGGAAUCCACAAAGUAAACCAACACCACAUUGCAUAAGAGCAACUCCAACACGCCGACCCAAACGGACACGCGCUUUGUCCGUUUUUUGUCCAUUUGGGUCAGCCGCCUGCUUGGCGUCCACCCUCUUUUUGAUUUGGAUCAGUCGUGUGCCCAAUGCUCGCGGCCCAUUUCAUGUCCUGAAGGAAAUAUGCCCUAGAGGCAAUAAUAAAGUUAUUAUUUAUUUCCUUAUAUCAUGAUAAAUGUUUAUUAUUCAUGCUAGAAUUGUAUUAACCGGAAACAUAAUACUUGUGUGAAUACAUAGACAAACAGAGUGUCACUAGUAUGCCUCUACUUGACUAGCUCGUUGAUCAAAGAUGGUUAUGUUUCCUAGCCAUUGACAUGAGUUGUCAUUUGAUUAACGGGAUCACAUCAUUAGGAGAAUGAUGUGAUUGACUUGACCCAUUCCAUUAGCUUAGCACUCGAUCGUUUAGUAUUCUGCUAUUGCUUUCUUCAUGACUUAUACAUGUUCCUAUGACUAUGAGAUUAUGCAACUCCCGUUUACCGGAGGAACACUUUGUGUGCUACCAAACGUCACAACGUAACUGGGUGAUUAUAAAGGUGCUCUACAGGUGUCUCCGAAGGUACUUGUUGGGUUGGCGUAUUUCGAGAUAAGGAUUUGUCACUCCGAUUGUCGGAGAGGUAUCUCUGGGCCCACUCGGUAAUGCACAUCACGAUAAGCCUUGCAAGUAUUGCAACUAAUGAGUUAGUUGCGGGAUGAUGUAUUACGGAAUGAGUAAAGAGACUUGUCGGUAACGAGAUUGAACUAGGUAUUAAGAUACCGACGAUCGAAUCUCGGGCAAGUAACAUACCGAUGACAAAGGGAACAACGUAUGUUGUUAUGCGGUUUGACCGAUAAAGAUCUUCAUAGAAUAUGUAGGAGCCAAUAUGAGCAUCCAGGUUCCGCUAUUGGUUAUUGACCGGAGAUGUGUCUCGGUCAUGUCUACAUAGUUCUCGAACCCGUAGGGUCCGCACGCUUAAAGUUCGAUGACGGUUAUAUUAUGAGUUUAUGUGUUUUGAUGUACCGAAGAUAGUUCGGAGUCCCGGAUGUGAUCAAGGACAUGACGAGGAGUCUCGAAAUGGUCGAGACAUAAAGAUUGAUAUAUUGGAAGCCUAUAUUUGAAUAUCGGAAGUGUUCCGGGUGAAAUCGGGAUUUUACCGGAGUACCGGGGGUUACCAGAACCCCCCCCCCCCCCCGAGGGGUUUAAUGGGCCAAGAUGGGCCUUAGUGGAGAAGAGGAGGGGUGGCCAGGGCAGGCCGCGCGCCCCCUCCCCCUCUAGUCCGAAUUGGACAAGGAGGGGGGCGGCGCCCCCCUUUCCUUCCUCUCUCCCUCCUCCUUCCCCCUUCUCCUACUCCAACUAGGAAAGGAGGGAGUCCUACUCCCGGUGGGAGUAGGACUCCUCUCUGGCGCGCCUCCUCCUGGCCGGCCGCCUCUCCCCCCUUGCUCCUUUAUAUACGGGGGCAGGGGGGCACCUCUAGACACAACAAUUGAUCUCUUAGCCGUGUGCGGUGCCCCCCCCCCUCCACCAUAAUCCACCUCGAUAAUAUCGUAGCGGUGCUUAGGCGAAGCCCUGCGUCGGUAGAACAUCAUCAUCGUCGCCACGCCGUCGUGCUGACUGAACUCUCCCUCAAAGCUCGGCUGGAUCGGAGUUCGAGGGACAUCAUCGAGCUGAACGUGUGCUGAACUCGGAGGUGCCGUACGUUCGGUACUUGAUCGGUCGGAUCGUGAAGACGUACGACUACAUCAACCGCGUUGUGCUAACGCUUCCGCUUUCGGUCUACGAGGGUACGUGGACACACUCUCCCCUCUCGUUGAUAUGCAUCACCAUGAUCUUGCGUGUGCGUAGGAAAUUUUUUGAAAUUAGUACGUUCCCCAACAGUGGCAUCCGAGCCAGGUUUUAUGCGUAGAUGUUAUAUGCACGAGUAGAACACAAGUGAGUUGUGGGCGAUAUAAGUCAUACUGCUUACCAACAUGUCAUACUUUGGUUCGGGGCGGUAUUGUUGGAUGAAGCGGCCCGGACCGACAUUACACGUACGCUUACGCGAGACUGGUUCUACCGACGUGCUUUGCACACAGGUGGCUAGCGGGUGUCAGUUUCUCCAACUUUAGUUGAACCGAGUGUGGCUACGCCCGGUCCUUGAGAAGGUUAAAACAGCACUAACUUGACAAACUAUCGUUGUGGUUUUGAUGCGUAGGUAAGAACGGUUCUUGCUCAGCCCGUAGCAACCACGUAAAACUUGCAACAACAAAGUAGAGGACGUCUAACUUGUUUUUGCAGGGCAUGUUGUGAUGUGAUAUGGUCAAGGCAUGAUGCUAUAUUUUAUUGUAUGAGAUGAUCAUGUUUUGUAACCGAGUUAUCGGCAACUGGCAGGAGCCAUAUGGUUGUCGCUUUAUUGUAUGCAAUGCAAAUGCCUUGUAAUGCUUUACUUUAUCACUAAGCGGUAGCGAUAGUCGUAGAAGCAUAAGUUGGCGAGACGACAACGAUGCUACGAUGGAGAUCAAGGUGUCGCGCCGGUGACGAUGGUGAUCAUGACGGUGCUUCGGAGAUGGAGAUCACAAGCACAAGAUGAUGAUGGCCAUAUCAUAUCACUUAUAUUGAUUGCAUGUGAUGUUUAUCUUUUAUGCAUCUUAUCUUGCUUUGAUUGAUGGUAGCAUUAUAAGAUGAUCUCUCACUAAAUUAUCAAGGUAUAAGUGUUCUCCCUGAGUAUGCACCGUUGCGAAAGUUCUUCGUGCUGAGACACCACGUGAUGAUCGGGUGUGAUAGGCUCUACGUUCAAAUACAACGGGUGCAAGACAGUUGCACACGCAGAAUACUCAGGUUAAACUUGACGAGCCUAGCAUAUGCAGAUAUGGCCUCGGAACACUGAGACCGAAAGGUCGAGCGUGAAUCAUAUAGUAGAUAUGAUCAACAUAGUGAUGUUCAUCAUUGAAACUACUCCAUCUCAUGUGAUGAUCGGACAUGGUUUAGUUGAUUUGGAUCACGUGAUCACUUAGAGGAUUAGAGGGAUGUCCAUCUAAGUGGGAGUUCUUAAGUAAUAUGAUUAAUUGAACUUAAAUUUAUCAUGAACUUAGUACCUGAUAGUAUUUUGCUUGUCUAUGUUGAUUGUAGAUAGAUGGCCCGUGUUGUUGUUCCGUUGAAUUUUAAUGCAUUCCUUGUGAAAGCAAAGUUGAAAGAUGAUGGUAGCAAUUACACGGACUGGGUCCUUAACUUGAGGAUUAUCCUCAUUGCUGCACAGAAGAAUUACGUCCUGGAAGCACCGCUAGGUGCCGGACCUGCUGCAGGAGCAACACCAGAUGUUAUGAACGUCUGGCAGAGCAAAGCUGAUGACUACUCGAUAGUUCAGUGUGCCAUGCUUUACGGCUUAGAACCGGCACUUCAACGACGUUUUGAACGUCAUGGAGCAUAUGAGAUGUUUCAGGAGUUGAAGUUAAUAUUUCAAGCAAAUGCCCGGAUUGAGAGAUAUGAAGUCUCCAAUAAGUUCUACAGCUGUAAGAUGGAGAAGAAUAGUUCUGUCAGUGAGCAUAUACUCAGAAUAUCUGGGUAUAACAAUCACUUGAUUCAACUGGGAGUUAAUCUUCCGGAUGAUAGCGUCAUUGACAGAAUUCUUCAAUCACUGCCACCAAGCUACAAGAGCUUCGUGAUGAACUAUAACAUGCAAGGGAUGGAUAAGACGAUUCCCGAGCUCUUCGCAAUGCUAAAAGCUGCGGAGGUAGAAAUCAAGAAGGAGCAUCAAGUGUUGAUGGUCAACAAGACCACCAGUUUCAAGAACAAGGGCAAAGGGAAGAAGAAGGGGAACUUCAAGAAGAACAGCAAACAAGUUGCUGCUCAGGAGAAGAAACCCAAGUCUGGACCUAAGCCUGAGACUGAGUGCUUCUACUGCAAACAUACUGGUCACUGGAAGCGGAACUGCCCCAAGUAUUUGGCGGAUAAGAAGGAUGGCAAGGUGAACAAAGGUAUAUCUGAUAUACAUGUUAUUGAUGUGUACCUUACUAAUGCUCGCAGUAGCACCUGGGUAUUUGAUACUGGUUCUGUUGCUAAUAUUUGCAACUCGAAACAGGGACUACGAAUUAAGCGAAGAUUGGCUAAGGACGAGGUAACGAUGCGCGUGGAAAAUGGUUCCAAAGUCGAUGUGAUCGCGGUCGGCACGCUACCUCUACAUCUACCUUCGGGGUUAGUUUUAGACCUGAAUAAUUGUUAUUUGGUGCCAGCGUUGAGCAUGAACAUUAUAUCUGGAUCUUGUUUGAUGCGAGACGGUUAUUCAUUUAAAUCAGAGAAUAAUGGUUGUUCUAUUUAUAUGAGUAAUAUCUUUUAUGGUCAUGCACCCUUGAAGAGUGGUCUAUUUUUGUUGAAUCUCGAUAGUAGUGAUACACAUAUUCAUAAUAUUGAAGCCAAAAGAUGCAGAGUUGAUAAUGAUAGUGCAACUUAUUUGUGGCACUGCCAUUUAGGUCAUAUUGGUGUAAAGCGCAUGAAGAAACUCCAUACUGAUGGACUUUUGGAACCACUUGAUUAUGAAUCACUUGGUACUUGCGAACCGUGCCUCAUGGGCAAGAUGACUAAAACGCCGUUCUCCGGAACUAUGGAGCGAGCAACAGAUUUGCUGGAAAUCAUACAUACAGAUGUAUGUGGUCCAAUGAAUAUUGAGGCUCGCGGCGGGUAUCGUUAUUUUCUCACCUUCACAGAUGAUUUAAGCAGAUAUGGGUAUAUCUACUUAAUGAAACAUAAGUCUGAAACAUUUGAAAAGUUCAAAGAAUUUCAGAGUGAAGUGGAAAAUCAUCGUAACAAGAAAAUAAAGUUUCUACGAUCUGAUCGUGGAGGAGAAUAUUUGAGUUACGAGUUUGGUCUUCAUUUGAAACAAUGCGGAAUAGUUUCGCAACUCACGCCACCCGGAACACCACAGCGUAAUGGUGUGUCCGAACGUCGUAAUCGUACUUUACUAGAUAUGGUGCGAUCUAUGAUGUCUCUUACUGAUUUACCGCUAUCAUUUUGGGGUUAUGCUUUAGAGACGACUGCAUUCACGUUAAAUAGGGCACCAUCGAAAUCCAUUGAGACGACGCCUUAUGAACUGUGGUUUGGCAAGAAACCAAAGUUGUCGUUUCUUAAAGUAUGGGGCUGCGAUGCUUAUGUGAAAAAGUUUCAACCUGAUAAGCUCGAACCCAAAUCGGAGAAAUGUGUCUUCAUAGGAUACCCAAAGGAAAUUGUUGGGUACACCUUCUAUCACAGAUCUGAAGGCAAGACUUUUGUUGCUAAAUUUGGAUCCUUUCUAGAGAAGGAGUUUCUCUCGAAAGAAGUGAGUGGGAGGAAAGUAGAACUUGAUGAGGUAACUGUACCUGCUCCCUUAUUGGAAAGUAGUUCAUCACAGAAACCGGUUCCUGUGACACCUACACCAAUUAGUGAGGAAGUUAAUGAUGAUGAUCAUGAAACUUCAGAUCAAGUUGUUACUGAACCUCGUAGGUCAACCAGAGUAAGAUGCGCACCAGAGUGGUACGGUAAUCCUGUUCUGGAGGUUAUGUUACUAGACCAUGAUGAACCUACGAACUAUGAAGAAGCGAUGGUGAGCCCAGAUUCCACAAAAUGGCUUGAGGCCAUGAAAUCUGAGAUGGGAUCCAUGUAUGAGAACAAAGUGUGGACUUUGGUUGACUUGCCCGAUGAUCGGCAAGCCAUUGAGAAUAAAUGGAUCUUCAAGAAGAAGACUGACGCUGACGGUAAUGUUACUUUCUAUAAAGCUCGACUUGUUGCAAAAGGUUUUUGACAAGUUCAAGGGAUUGACUACGAUGAGACUUUCUCACCCGUAGCGAUGCUUAAGUCUGUCUGAAUCAUGUUAGCAAUUGUCGCAUUUUAUGAUUAUGAAAUUUGGCAAAUGGAUGUCAAAACUGCAUUCCUGAAUGGAUUUCUGGAAGAAGAGUUGUAUAUGAUGCAGCCGGAAGGUUUUGUCGAUCCAAAGGGAGCUAACAAAGUGUGCAAGCUCCAGCGAUCCAUUUAUGGACUGGUGCAAGCCUCUCGGAGUUGGAAUAAACGCUUUGAUAGUGUGAUCAAAGCAUAUGGUUUUAUACAGACUUUUGGAGAAGCCUGUAUUUACAAGAAAGUGAGUGGGAGCUCUGUAGCAUUUCUGAUAUUAUAUGUGGAUGACAUAUUGCUGAUUGGAAAUGAUAUAGAAUUUCUGGAUAGCAUAAAGGGAUACUUGAAUAAGAGUUUUUCAAUGAAGGACCUCGGUGAAGCUGCUUAUAUAUUGGGCAUCAAGAUCCAUAGAGAUAGAUCAAGACGCUUAAUUGGACUUUCAAAAAGCACAUACCUUGACAAAGUUUUGAAGAAGUUCAAAAUGGAUCAAGCAAAGAAAGGGUUUUUGCCUGUGUUACAAGGUGUGAAGUUGAGUAAGACUCAAUGCCUGACCACCGCAGAAGAUAGAGAGAAGAUGAAAGAUGUUCCCUAUGCUUCAUCCAUAGGCUCUAUCAUGUAUGCAAUGCUGUGUACCAGACCUGAUGUGUGCCUUGCUAUAAGUUUAGCAGGGAGGUACCAAAGUAAUCCAGGAGUGGAUCACUGGACAGCGGUCAAGAACAUCCUGAAAUACCUGAAAAGGACUAAGGAUAUGUUUCUCGUUUAUGGAGGUGACAAAGAGCUAGUCGUAAAUAGUUACGUCGAUGCAAGCUUUGACACUGAUCCGGACGAUUCUAAAUCGCAAACCGGAUACGUAUUUACAUUGAACGGUGGAGCUGUAAGUUGGUGCAGUUCUAAAGAAAGCGUUGUGGCGGGAUCUACGUGUGAAGCGGAGUACAUAGCUGCUUUGGAAGCAGCAAAUGAAGGAGUCUGGAUGAAGGAAUUCAUAUCCGAUCUAGGUGUCAUACCUAGUGUAUCGGGUCCAAUGAAAAUCUUUUGUGACAAUACUGGUGCAAUUGCCUUGGCAAAGGAAUCCAGAUUUCACAAGAGAACCAAGCACAUCAAGAGACGCUUCAACUCCAUCCGGGAUCAAGUCCAGGUGGGAGACAUAGAAAUUUGCAAAAUACAUACGGAUCUGAAUGUUGCAGACCCGUUGACUAAGCCUCUUCCACGAGCAAAACAUGAUCAGCACCAAGGCUCCAUGGGUGUUAGAAUCAUUACUGUGUAAUCUAGAUUAUUGACUCUAGUGCAAGUGGGAGACUGAAGGAAAUAUGCCCUAGAGGCAAUAAUAAAGUUAUUAUUUAUUUCCUUAUAUCAUGAUAAAUGUUUAUUAUUCAUGCUAGAAUUGUAUUAACCGAAAACAUAAUACUUGUGUGAAUACAUAGACAAACAGAGUGUCACUAGUAUGCCUCUACUUGACUAGCUCGUUGAUCAAAGAUGGUUAUGUUUCCUAGCCAUUGACAUGAGUUGUCAUUUGAUUAACGGGAUCACAUCAUUAGGAGAAUGAUGUGAUUGACUUGACCCAUUCCAUUUGCUUAGCACUCGAUCGUUUAGUAUUCUGCUAUUGCUUUCUUCAUGACUUAUACAUGUUCCUAUGACUAUGAGAUUAUGCAACUCCCGAUUACCGGAGGAACACUUUGUGUGCUACCAAACGUCACAACGUAACUGGGUGAUUAUAAAGGUGAUCUAAAGGUGUCUCCGGAGGUACUUGUUGGGUUGGCGUAUUUCGAGAUUAGGAUUUUUCACUCCGAUUGUCGGAGAGGUAUCUCUGGGCCCACUCGUAAUGCACAUCACUAUAAGCCUUGCAAGCAUUCAACAAAUGAGUUAGUUGUGGGAUGAUGUAUUACGAAACGAGUAAAGAGACUUGCCGGUAACGAGAUUGAACUAGGUAUUAAGAUACCGACGAUCGAAUCUCGGGCAAGUAACAUACUGAUGACAAAGGGAACAAUGUAUGUUGUUAUGCGGUUUGACCGAUAAAGAUCUUCAUAGAAUAUGUAGGAGCCAAUAUGAGCAUCCAGGUUCCGCUAUUGGUUAUUGACCGGAGACGUGUCUCGGUCAUGUCUACAUAGUUCUCGAACACGUAGGGUCCGCACGCUUAAAGUUCGAUGACGGUUAUAUUAUGAGUUUAUGUGUUUUGAUGUACCGAAGAUAGUUCGAAGUCCCGGAUGUGAUCACGGACAUGACGAGGAGUCUCGAAAUGGUCGAGACAUAAAGAUUGAUAUAUUGGAAGCCUAUAUUUGGAUAUCGGAAGUGUUCCGGGUGAAAUCGGGAUUUUACCGGAGUACCGGGGGUUACCGGAACCCCCCCGGGGGUUUAAUGGGCCAAGAUGGGCCUUAGUGGAGAAGAGGAGGGGCGGCCAGGGCAGGUCGCGUGCCCCCUCCCCCUCUAGUCCGAAUGGGACAAGGAGGGGGUCGGCGCCCCCCUUUCCUUCCUCUCUCCCUCCUCCUUCCCCCUUCUCCUACUCCAACUAGGAAAGGAGGGAGUCCUACUCCCGGUGGGAGUAGGACUCCUCCCUGGCGCGCCUCCUCCUGGCUGGCCGCCUCUCCCCCCGCUCCUUUAUAUACGGGGGCAGGGGGCACCUCUAGACACAACAAUUGAUCUCUUGAUCUCUUAGCCGUGUGCGGUGCCCCCCUCCACCAUAAUCCACCUCGAUAAUAUCGUAGCGGUGCUUAGGCGAAGCCCUGCGUCGGUAGAAUAUGGAACUCUCCCUCAAAGCUCGGCUGGAUCGGAGUUCGAGGGACGUCCUCGAGCUGAACGUGUGCUAAACUCGGAGGUGCCGUACGUUCGGUACUUGAUCGGUCGGAUCGUGAAGACGUACGACUAUAUCAACCGCGUUGUGCUAACGCUUCCGCUUUCGGUCUACGAGGGUACGUGGACACACUCUCCCCUCUCGUUGCUAUGCAUCACCAUGAUCUUGCGUGUGCGUAGGAAAUUUUUUGAAAUUACUACGUUCCCCAACAUGUCCACGCAUAAAUUUUAAAAGGCCCGCGGACAUAGAUCAUGUCAGCGGCCAUGCCAUCGGCCAAAGUUCAUGUCGGUGCUAUGCCAGCCUCCAAAAAAGCCACCACACAGUUCAUGCUGGCGCACUUGCCAGCGGUCGGCACACAUACCAGCACACAAAAAGGGGCGGGAAUUUGACCACGCCAUCUCGGCCGUGGUCAUGCCGGCAUACAAAAAACAGAUGGCGCUCUCCGCCAUAGAUCACUCGUCGUCUUGCAGGUGCUUCUCCUCCCUUGCGUCCUUCUUGCUCUCCACGAUUGCAAGCAAAGAAAUCGGCGCCGCAUCGCGCUUGUCCUCCUUCUUGGAGUUGGUCUUCCCCCGCGGCCGUGACUUUUCGCCCUCCCCAAGCUCCUCCACGGCUUCCUCCCCCCCCCCACGCGACAUGAGGAUGGCAUAUUGCGCCUUGAACUUCUCCUACCCCUUGAUGACCAUCCAAUAAUGGGAGAGGUGGAAGGAUUUACCAUCAUGUUGGACCUUGAAUGCCUCCAAAGCCUGGAAUGCCUACAAAUGAAUAGCAUGCAAGCAUAUGGGAAAAUGGACAUGCAAGCAUAAACGAAAACAGAAACGGAUACGAAGAGGGGCACAUGUAUACCAUAUCUUGCAUGCCGAUGCCGCUCAUGGGGCGUGCCUUGAUGGUCUCAAGGGUGGCACAAAACUUGUUGUACUCUUGUUGUAUCACCCUCCAUCGCUUCAAGAGGGACACCCACCCAUGGUUGCUUUGCAUUUGGUAUGGCGCAAACUUCUUGCGUUCAUGGUACUCGCGAUGCACACGAAUCCAAAAGGUUGAUGCCUUUUGUUCAGCGCUGACCUUGGGGUAUUGCCCAAUAUCCCUCCAACACUCACAAAGGAGCUUGUCCUUGGACGGGGUGUAUGCCUUCGUCGGCUUGCUUUUGCACUUCGGCUUUGUAAGUGCUAGUGCCACUCCUAGUUGGUUUUGGAGUAUUGACGACAAACUUGGUUGAGGGACUAAUGUGUUUGUGAGAAUUGCAGGAUAACAUAGGUUGUAGUCCCUUAUUGAUUCGGUUUACCUACCAGAGAUGACCCCUAAAAUGUAUGAAGACAUUGAAGAUAAUGGUGGUUCGUGAAGACAUUCACGACGAAGAUUAUGACAUGUGAUGACAUUCACUUGAAGAUUAUGGAGUGCGAAGACAUAGUUGUUUCGUAGUUUCCUUUUCUUCUUUAUUGAGUCAUAGGAACCACCGUACUGUUAAGUGGGGUCCAAGUGAACAAAGUCAGAGUGACUGAAGUGAUGCUCAACCAAAAUCCUAUGUCUUCGAGCGAAGACAAUGUGAGUAAAUCUUAUCCAGAACUAGAUGAGUCAGCUCUACUUGUAGCCCAAGUCAAGCUGCCGCGUGUGUUUGAAAUCCUACCGUUGGACACGUGUCGGUUCCUUAGUGACCCAGGGUCAUUUCGGACAUAUCAGGUCGGGUUGCCUCCUGGCUAUAAAUAGCCCACCCCCUACACCCUAAAUCGGUGGCUGCUCAGAGUUAGUGCACGGCUUUUGUCGUUUGACAGCAACCCACCUCCGAAGUCUUUGAGGGAGAGAUCCUUGCGAGGACAAAGCCCAAAACACCCAGAGCCAAAGAGUGAUAGGCAUCACUGAAGUCCUUCUGUCCGCGUGACCUGAAGACUUGUUACACUUGAGGACUGUGAAUCCUCCAGCCGGUUAGGCGUCGCGUUCUGAGCAUCCAAGAGUCAUUGUGGAUCGCCGGUGAGCGAAGUCUAUGAAGGUUUGGAAGUCUACCUUGAAGACUUACCAGAGUGAUUGGGCGAGGACUGGGUGUCCUUAGCUCAAGGGGAAUAAGGUGAAGACGCGGUCUUCUGAGUUCAAUCUCAGCCUCCCUAACCAGACGUACAGUUGUCACAGCAACUGGAACUGGUCUACCAAAUCCUUGUCUUCACCAAGCAACUGGUUCUAUCCCCCACUCCCCUUUACUUUUCUGUUUGUCUUCGUGAAGUCAUUGCUUGCCUGUCUGAUCUGAUUGACUUCACUGUGUGAAGACUGUUACCUGUUUGGCUUCAUACUGUCUUCCAUCCUGAUCCAUACUACCUAGUUGUUGAUAGUCUUCGUACUUUCACUACAUUUCUUACUUGACUAUGGCUUGUCUAGUGUAGUAUAUCUUCCGCUGCAUAUCAAUAGGUUCAUUUCAUCUGUUUGUCUUCAAAGACCUCGUGUUUUGAAGACUNNNNNNNNNNNNNNNNNNNNNNNNNNNNNNNNNNNNNNNNNNNNNNNNNNNNNNNNNNNNNNNNNNNNNNNNNNNNNNNNNNNNNNNNNNNNNNNNNNNNNNNNNNNNNNNNNNNNNNNNNNNNNNNNNNNNNNNNNNNNNNNNNNNNNNNNNNNNNNNNNNNNNNNNNNNNNNNNNNNNNNNNNNNNNNNNNNNNNNNNNNNNNNNNNNNNNNNNNNNNNNNNNNNNNNNNNNNNNNNNNNNNNNNNNNNNNNNNNNNNNNNNNNNNNCCUCGAACAAAGGCUCCCCAUCGAUGUUCAUAUCAUCCUCUUCCUCGAGGACUCGUGGUCGAGCGGGAAGCUGGCCAGGCCGACCUGAUCUUGCAUGAACGCGUCCUCCAUGCCAGCUUGAUCAUAGGUCGAUGGUGUGAAUGGCGCUCGGCAGUCUUGGCUUUGGGUCUCCUCGGGAUCGUAGGCAGCUGCGGCGGCACCGCCAGCGAAGGCAGUGGCCGCCGCACCACCUUCGAAGAUGAUGUUCUCCAUGAUGGAACGGCUGGCCCUUUCGUCCUUGCUGACCAUCGGCAUUAUGUCGAACAGGUUGCGUGCGCCGGGGAGCAUGUCGGCUGGCAUCUCCCGCGGGUAUUUCCUCGCUCCUCCAGAGGAUGAUGAACUGGCCACCGGCAUGGCAUUGAGGUCGAUGGCCACGGGCGCGGGCAUGGACAGCACCACCACGCUCACCUCCGGCGAGCAUUCCCCGGAGAAGCGGGAAGCUUGCGGAUAGACGUGGAAGCCGGGAAUCGGUUGUGUGGCAGACGUGCGCGGUGACUCUGGCAGCACCAUGCGAGCAAACGUUGACGAGCCCGUGCUAGCCGCGGCCACGGAGGCGCUAAUGAGCCCGUGCUGGCCAGGAUUCAACCCUAGGUACAUCAGGGCCUCCCUCGUUGCAACAGCGACUGGGGCAUUGGUUUCCUCUUGCUGUGCGGCGGCGGAGAGGGCGGCGACGGCCGCCGCUUGGUCUCUUGCGUACGAUGCGUGCCUCCGGUCCUUUCGCUUCGCCAACUGCACGGCCCGCUCCUCGGGCGUUAGCUUCUUCUUCUUGGGCAGCGCCACGAUCUUGCCGGGCGCACGGGGAUUUCCUUUCGCGGAGGCGAUGGAGGCGAGGUCGGGCGAGGCCGGCGGCAGCAUCGAGGGUCGGCGCAUCGUCGACCAUGGCUGGGAGCGUGAGCGAGCGGGAGGGUUUUGGGAAAGUGGAGGGAAAUGGUGGUCGUUGUGCCACCGACUGGCGGGCCAGGGGGAGGAGUAGGCACGUGUCGCGCAUGUCCGUUUCGUGUCCGCGCCGACGCAAAUGAGGCUCAAAUUUAGGCCGGGAAUGGGUCGGCAGGCGGCGAAAGGCGGACGCGCGUUCGUUUGGGUCGGCGCGUUGGGCCAACUUUUUUGUCCUCGGCAACCCAAACGGAUGCGCGCAGACGAAAUGGGUCGGCGCGUUGGAGUUUCUCUAAGGGACUAAAACCUGAGUGUACACUUAGCAAACAUAUUAGUCCCUAUAAUUGUGUGACAUCAAUACUAAAACAACAUUAGGGGCCAAGAUGUACUUUCACCCUCUCAAUGGGACACUUUAGAGUCACAAUUAAGAAAAAUAAUGUCAAUAGCAAGAAUGAUUUGGCAUGAGUUUUUUUUUACAAUUCCUAUUUUCCUUCUAUUGUCAUACAAAUCCAACACCUUUCCUGCAAAAGUUUUGACUCUUCUUACUGGAUAUCUCAUCAAAUUUUCACUUCCCUUGUGACACACCCAUGCCACAAGAUCUCCCCAGUAAUGACCUUGAGCAAUUUUUUGCCAAACAUAGCUUGGAUUUAUGAUAAUCCAAGAGUAUCCAUGACACCGUUCAUAUUCGAUGAUAGCACAUGGAAUUAAGUAGGCAAGUAGCAAUAGGUGCAAUGACAUUUGACAAUGAAGGAGAUGUAGUGCAUUUAGCACAUCGAGGAAGUUCUUCAGUUGGAUCAAGUUAAGAGUACAUUUUUGUACAUAACUUGACGAGCUGCCCGAUGAGGCUCCAAGCUUGUAACUUUUGCACGUAUGAUGUUUCUUCAUGGAUCUCCAUGGUACUGUUGUGAAAUCUUCUUGGUGUUGCCUAUUCUCCUUGAGAUAUCACCACAAAGGUGAUUAGCAACCACUAGUGUUAGACCUUGAGACGGCAUCCAAACCUUCACAAACUUUUCGGGGGGAAAUCACAAGUUGAUUCCUCAUAGGUCCAUCUCGGUCAUUUCACCCCCAACCCAUUCAUAGGUUCCAAAUCACUGCAAAUCCAAACAAGAAGACCUCGGAGGGUCCGUAGGAAACAUGCUCGACAACUUUGAAUGAACUAUUGUUAGCCUAUCCUAGAAGGGUCUGAAUGAAUGGAACAAAGGGUUUUGUAAAAUUCACUUAUCCCAAUUCGAAGGUUCCGACUACUCGCCAUUCAGAUGGUACGGAUUAUAUUGGGACCUAGGGAUGUCGCUAGUGAUCAAUAUCGAGAUGUUUGGACGGAUAUGUCUAUAGUGUCCAAUUUCUUUGAAACCAAACUUCACUGGCUAGAGGGUCUUGGACGAAUUCACUUGGAGGAACCGAAUGAGAGUAGGACCUUCUUUGGCAUCAUGUAAUGCAUGAACCACCCGGUCGAAGGGUCUGAACAACACUUAAAGUAACUCGAACACUCUUUAAAGGACUCGAGGUUCCAAAGAUAAUGCACUCGAAGGCUCGGGACAUGAAAAGAGGAGAGGAUAUGGGUGGAAGAGUGAGGGGUUUUGUGCGAGUUCUGGAAGUCUAGGUUUGAGCACUUAGCAAGAAAUAUCUUCUCAUCACAAAGUCCAAUAUCCCCUGGUUUCUUCGACCACAAAAGGCUAGAAAUAUCAUUAAUCUUAUCGAUCAUUUCUCAUAGUUUUUUAGGGGUCAAGAACAUCUCUACCAACUAGGUGGACUAGAAAUGAUUAAUACUUGAGCAAAAUGUUCGACCAUCAAUCUUGUCUUGAAUCGUCAAAACCCAGUAUGGGGGCCUAGAUGCACUUUCCACCUUUAUUAUACGAGGUAUUAUUUUGUAGAUGUAUAUACUAGUAUUUUAGUUUUGUCUUGUACAUAUGCGACGAUACAUACACAAAUAUAUGAGUACACUCUCGUACAAAUUGUAGAUCUUCAAAACGUUGAACAAAACCAAACUAAGAGUACCUCAUAUGGUUAGGUUCCACUAGUGCUCCCAUUUUUCUGGAUUUAGGCUUUUCGACGAUGUUCGUUUGGUGCGAGCAGAUGUUCCCGUCGACUAUGAGGCAUCUGUGGUGAUUUCGUCAAUCCCACGAUGUGAUGUAGGCUCGGUAUCUCAAAGGUGCUCAUAGGGGUCGUGCAUGUGCAUUCAUAGGGGUUGUACUGUGUUAAAUAAAAGUGUUGAACGAAAAAUUUGAAAAUUGACAUUACUACUAAUUCUAUUUCGAUCCAAACACCGAAACUAAUGGAAUUGAUCACCAAUUAUAUUGCUUGAGGAACUGGAAUUGGUAAACGGAUCCUAAGUAGAAUUUCAAUUGUCUACUGUCUACUUACCCUCUAUAGUCAAAAAACGGCAGCGCUAUAUCUAGCAUUCAGCGAGACGGUAGAAUACCUCGCUGAAGCGUCUACAGUAGUUGGGCCAGCCCAUCCGCACACAUUAAAGGAAAAGGAGAAUGAAAAAGUAGGAGAACGCAGCUUCUAGUUAGUGAUAAGUAGUACGGGCACAACCUACUCGAGGCGAUUGGACUGGUUUCCUCCGGGUUUUUUUCUUUUGUUUCUUUUCUUCUUCCUACCCUAAAUUUUUUUCAUUCUUUUUUCUUCUACAUCAGCUUACAUACAUAGUAUUACUACCAUUUUCUUUUUCUUCUCUGAUUUUUUCAUUCUUUUUGCAUUUGUUUCUUUGUUUUUAAUUUANNNNNNNNNNNNNNNNNNNNNNNNNNNNNNNNNNNNNNNNNNNNNNNNNNNNNNNNNNNNNNNNNNNNNNNNNNNNNNNNNNNNNNNNNNNNNNNNNNNNNNNNNNNNNNNNNNNNNNNNNNNNNNNNNNNNNNNNNNNNNNNNNNNNNNNNNNNNNNNNNNNNNNNNNNNNNNNNNNNNNNNNNNNNNNNNNNNNNNNNNNNNNNNNNNNNNNNNNNNNNNNNNNNNNNNNNNNNNNNNNNNNNNNNNNNNNNNNNNNNNNUGUGUUUCUUUGAUAUAAUUUUUUGAUUUAUUUUUUUCUUUUUUAUGUUUUGUUUAAUUUUUUGUUUCUUUUGGUUUUCAUUUUACAUUUUUUAUAUGUCAGCACCAUUUUUUUAAUAAUGUUUAACAUUUCUCAAUGCAAUUUUAAAAAAAAUACAUGGUCAACUGGUUUUCUUUACAUAUUUUUAAACAUUUUAUGAAUACAUGGUCAACAUUUUUUCUACACACACUUUUAAACUUUUUCAAAUGCUUGAUUAACAUUUUUCAAAUACAAGAUUUACAUUUCUAGUACAUGGUCAACAUUUUUUCUAUGCAAAAUUAACAUUUUUUCCAAAUCCUUGAUUAACAUUUUAUAAAUGCAAUAUUAACAAUUUUAUCACAUGGACAACAUUUUUUCUAAAUAUAUUUAACAUUUCUCAAAUGCUUGGUUAACAUUUUUCGAAUACUUGUUCAACAUUUUCCAAAUGCUUGAUUAACAUUUUUAUAGACAUGAUCAAAAAAAUAAUCAUUUUUUAAAUACAUGGUCAACAUUUUUUCUCUAGACAUUUAACAUUUUUCAGAUACUUUUCAACAUAUUUUCAAAUGGUUGAUCAACAUUUUUAUAUACAUGAUCGAAUUACUUUCAUCAUUUUUUUAAUACAUGGUCAACACUUUUGUAUACACAAUUCACAUUUCCAAAUGCCUACGUAACAUUUUUUCAAAUGCUUGAUUUACUUUUUUAAAACACAUGAUCAAAUUGUUUCAUGCCCAUUUUAUUUAUAUCUUGUACUAUAAAUUCUUCGUAUACAUGAUAUACAUUUUCUCUAUACACGUUUAACAUUUUUCAAAUGUUUAAUCAACAUUUUUCAAACGUUUUGUGUAGAUUCAUUUUUGUAAUUUAUUUAUUUAGAAUAUUAGGAAGUAUAAACAAAAGUAAACAAAAAACAAAAACGUGAAAAAAAACAGAAAAUAAGUGUUGUUGUUUCUCAUGCGCCUGGGCCGGCUCAAUUCACGCACCCUUCAGCGAGGGUUGCCUCUAUCUCGCUGGGCUGAAUCCCGAAAUCACUAGUUGAGGAGUACUCGUUGCAAAGAUCACUCCAACUCCCCUGGUUGCAACAAGUGGCGAACAUGCACGCCACUUGUCGCAACCUGAGAGUUUUCCCUUUUUCCGUAGACCCGUUUAUUCAAAACGUUUUAUCUCUCAAACCGUGCGUCCAAAUCUCUAACCGCUUUCACCGUUGGAUUCCUCGCGUCGAGAUCUUCAAAACUAGAUCUCGUGUUGAUAGGUUUUGACGAACUUUUUUUUCACGAAAAAAACCCGACAAAAAACUGACCGGGAGCACGGGUUUUUUUCCUUUCCGAAAGAGGCACGUCCGUGCCUCUCACGAAAAUCACAACCGUGCCUCUUGUGGAAGCAAAACCGUGACUCGCGAAAGGGGAAAAAAAGAGAAAACGCAUUUUUUUUCGUUUCCGAGGAGGCACGGCCGUGACUCUCGCGAAAGCACAACUGUGCCUCUCGCGGAAGCAAAACCGUGACUCUCGCGAAAGAAAAAAAUAGAAAACAUGUUUUUUUCGUUUCCGAGAGGCACGGCCGUGACUCUCGCUAAAGCUCAACCGUGCCUCUCGCGGAAGCAAAACUGUGACUCUCGCGAAAGGAAAAAAACAAAAAACAUUUUUUUUCAAGAGGCGCGGCCGUGACUCUCGUGAAAGCAAACCGUGCCUCUCGCGGAAGCAAAACCAUGACUCUCGCGAAAGGAAAAAGAAAAAAAGAAAACGCGUUUUUUCGCGCAAAAAGAAAUUCCAAAUUUUUUUCCCGAAAAGCUAAGGAAGACCGGUGGAAAACCAAAACGUCAAAAAAGAAGCUGAAAAUAAAACCGUUUAAAAAAGCAGAAAACGCGUGCGGAAAAAUAAAAAAAUUCCAAAGGAAGCGUUCAGAGCGCGACACGUGGCGAAUGGCUGAGAACGUGCCAAGUGGCGUUGGUCGUUGCGAGGCUCCCGGAGAAGCGCUCGUUAACUAGUUGCUCUCGCUGAAUCCGAGAUUCUUCUAAAAAAAAACCUGAAUCCGAGACAUGGGCCCGCCCAGAUAGGUUCCUAACGCCACCACCAUUGCUUGCCGUAACAAUGCUAAUUAUCAUGUUUCAAAUGGAAUUUGCGUCAUAAUGCACCGUCAAUGGAAGAAACUAAUUAUCAUGUUUCAAAUGGAAUUUGCGUCAUAAUGCACCGUCAAUGGAAGAAACACAGGAGGAUUACGGCAUGGUUGAGCAAAGGCAUGAGAGGAGGUACGAAAAGGGGAGCAAGAAUGACCUUGCAGCCCCAUGGUACUAAGGCUCCGUUCGGAAGCUCUCGAGGAGCUGGCUUCCAAAAAUCGCUCCGAGAAGUCGGCCGAACGACUCCGCUCCGAGAAGCUGGCUCCGCGGAGACGAGUUCUAGGCAGUGCAAAUAUCACGGAGAUGAGGAGCUGCGCUGGCUCAGCUUCACAAAAAUCAGAAGCUGGAGUUCAUCAAAAUUACGCUAGCAAUGCCACCCCGAAGUAACACUGAGUCGAAUCGUUUUCCUCCAUCAAAGCCCAGCCUGAUGGCCCGACUAGCAGCCCGUACAGAAACGAACGCCCACCUGCUCUGCUCUUGCAACCCUAGCCACCGGCCGGCGCCCCAUCGCCGGCCGGCCACCCCGCCAUCGUCCGCCGCCGCAGACCCCUUGGAUCUACGCCUCGUCUCGCAGAUCCCUGUCCACCGCCGUUUGCAGCAGCCGCCACUCCCCAUCAGCCACCACUCCCGCAGGUCUGCGAUCAUCUCCGCCAUCUGCCACCACUCCCUCCAUUGAUCGCCGCCGGCAGCUGCAUGAACUAGAGCUCCUGAACGGGCAUGCCACAAGAUCCACGCCGGAGAAAGCCGUUCCCCCAGCUCAAGGUGAGCAGCCACCUCCAGCGUAGCCGAACAGGCUGGGAGCUGCAGCAGUGAGCCGAACGCUUCCUGCUCCUCACAGAAGCUGGCUGCUGGCCGGAUGAGAAGCGGGAGCCAGCGAGUUUUGGAAGCGAGAGGACUUCCGAACGGGGCCUUAGUGGCACGUAAGAUGACUCAGGAUGUGCAGACCACAGUUUCACAACAUAAUCUAAAGAAACUAACAUAAACAAGCUAUUUUAACAAUGAUUCAGCACCCGGUCCUUCAAUAACACCACCUCCUAUAACUAUCAUGAGUGCAAAAAAUGUCGCAGGCGAUGUACAUAUACAGCCAUAGAAAAUAACUGCCAGUCAACACGGAGAUAUAUACAUAUGCUGCUAACUCAGAACCGGGGAUCAACUAACUACGAAGGUGCAUGAUCUGGGUGAGGAUUCAAAAAAUGGAUGAUGCCACCAUCAUAUGCCUGCAUUCUGAUUGUUGCCAGCCAGGAUGAGAGAAAUCUCCAAACCUCUGCUGAAAGCCUGGUUGAACAGUAGCCGUGUCUGGAAGGUGGAGAUGAAGGGAAACCAGGAGCAGAUGGCUAUGGGCACAAAAAUGAUCAUUCCCAUGCCAGCAUCAUACAGACGAGCCAGCGAGCGCACUAUUUUCCACAAACCCAAUCUCUUCACAAUUGGUUUCCAUGCCACAGCAAUCUGCAGAAGCAAAAACAAGAUCGAUAAAGAUUUGGUUAGUAAGAACUCUUGUAUCCUGAAAUUUGGAUUUGUUUUCUUUGAGAUAAAAAUCUAUAUGGUGUUUGAAACAGUUGUACGGUAGUAAAGAUAUCUCCGCCUGUCGAGCUAACAAUGGAGCAACAUUCUGUUACUAUGCAAAGGUAAACCACAUGGAAGACUUGACAUAUACCAUCUGUGUCAUCAUUCUAUAUAUAAAUCCUUUCAUUAGCUACGCAACAUGAGCAGAUCCACUACCAAGUUUUAAGUUGCGUAAUAACCAACUAGCCUUUACUAUCCAGUGUCAUUUUGAACAAUGGCACGGUUUCCGAAAUGCAGGAUUUCAUGGUACCAAAGUUGCCACAUGAAACUCACCGAAAGAAUUCCCCAUCCAGUAGGGACAUAUGCUAGGAUGGAAGCAAGUACAUCUAAAACAGUGAG
This 27576-nucleotide long non-coding RNA is filed under the name Triticum aestivum (bread wheat). Its description in RNAcentral is "long non-coding RNA (TAES_LNC004901)". The stretch from base 4359 to 4473 matches the Rfam family "MIR1120/MIR1122 microRNA precursor family". Lineage: Eukaryota; Viridiplantae; Streptophyta; Magnoliopsida; Poales; Poaceae. The record is from RNAcentral.